Molecule: ribosomal RNA, 379 nt
Filed under: uncultured bacterium
Lineage: Bacteria
Description: bacterial SSU rRNA
Rfam family: Bacterial small subunit ribosomal RNA
Source: RNAcentral
UAAUACGGAGGGUGCAAGCGUUGUUCGGAAUUACUGGGCGUAAAGGGCGUGUAGGCGGUCCGCUAAGUCUGAUGUGAAAGCCCGAGGCUUACCCUCGGAAGUGCAUUGGAGACUGGCGGACUAGAGUCCCGGAGAGGAGGGUGGAAUUCCUGGUGUAGCGGUGAAAUGCGUAGAUAUCAGGAGGAACACCGGUGGCGAAGGCGGCCCUCUGGACGGUGACUGACGCUGAGACGCGAAAGCGUGGGGAGCAAACAGGAUUAGAUACCCUGGUAGUCCACGCUGUAAACGAUGAGCACUAGGUGUCGCGGGUAUUGACCCCUGCGGUGCCGACGCUAACGCAUUAAGUGCUCCGCCUGGGGAGUACGGUCGCAAGAUUAAA